This 460-nucleotide ribosomal RNA is filed under the name uncultured bacterium. RNAcentral describes it as "partial 16S ribosomal RNA". It matches the Rfam family "Bacterial small subunit ribosomal RNA", at positions 338 to 795 of the family's 1533-position model. The record is from RNAcentral.
CCUACGGGUGGCAGCAGUGAGGAAUAUUGGUCAAUGGACGAGAGUCUGAACCAGCCAAGUAGCGUGAAGGAUGACUGCCCUCUGGGUUGUAAACUUCUUUUAUAUGGGAGUAAAAUGUUCCCCGUGUCGGAUUUUGUAUUUACCAUAUGAAUAAGGAUCGGCUCACUCCGUGCCAGCAGCCGCGGUACUACGGAGGGUCCGAGCGUUAUCCGGAUUUAUUUGGUUUAAAGGGAGCGUAGGGGGGUUGUUAAGUCAGAUGUGAAAGUCUGCGGCUCAACCGGAAAAUUGCAGUUGAAACUGGCAGUCUUGAGUACAGGAGAGGUGGGCGGAAUUCGUGGUGUAGCGGUGAAAUGCGUAGAUAUAAGGAAGAACUCCGAUUGCGAAGGCAGCUUACUGGACUGACACUGACACUGAGGCUCGAAAGCGUGGGUAGCAAACAGGAUUAGAUACCCUAGUAGUC